RNAcentral lists this long non-coding RNA (1737 nucleotides) under Homo sapiens (human). RNAcentral describes it as "HSALNT0313023". The record is from RNAcentral. Lineage: Eukaryota; Metazoa; Chordata; Mammalia; Primates; Hominidae.
AAAAAAAAAAAAGAUAUAAAUGUUAUUUUUUAUACAUUUUAUACAAACUCAUUGUUAAUUUGAAGCUAAUUUAUUACUCAGAAAAAGAUGAUUUGUUAAAACUACAUUUUGAUGACCUGUAUCUUUUUCUGGAUCUUUUAAUUUUUUUCCAAGAAUACAUGUACAUUAUGCCACAUCCACUUAUAACAAAAAAAGUUAAUUUUUAUCCUGAGAAAUCUUUGCUACAUCUCAUCAGUACUUUUUUUUUAACAGUAAGAAAUAGAUGGAGUGUUUACUUUUACACAAUAUAAGAUGUUUCUAUCAUUUCACUUAGUAAUAUGUUAUAGUCAGGAGUAAUCAUCUAUUUCCCCUGUUAAAUGGAUGGAAUUUAAAAGGAUUUUAUGCCACCAUUGCAGUUCAUACCUAUUAUUAUGUUUACUAGAACAAGUGAAUAAGCUUGAACAAGAGAUUACUCCAGAAUUGCUCUUGAAAAAAAGCUAAUGUUUUCUAACAGGAGGCACCUUUGAGGUAGUGAAUCCAUAUACGAACUGAUAGCUAUGCUAUCAGACAAUAAAAAUCUGUGACUCCUGAAGAGGAUCAACUGUUAAUGAGAGAAACUGUUUUAGAGAACCCAGGAAGUAUGCUUCCCCUCCGCCAGAGGGGUUAUGGAGUGUUUCGGAAGAAUACUAUGAGAAUUUGAGGUCCAAAAUAUUUCUUUCCAUUUGAAUUAGAAUUGCAAAUCCAAUUCACACUGGACGAAGAUCCUAUUUAUUUCUUUAUAUUCUAUGGAAAGUGCUAUCCCCCGGUGACAUGGCAACCAUAGCAAACAUAGCAAAUAAAGCUCUAAAUUUUAAUAAUGAGAGUUACUUGAAAGCAAUGACAGCACAGCCAAACGUAUCUUUGUAGUAAAAUUUUGUGCAUAUAGGAGAUAUUCCAUAGAUAUUUGUUAAGCUGAACUAGAUAAAAUCUAUACUGUCUUUGUGGAACAUUAUAAAGAUUGAAAAAUUGUUGAAAAUGUUGCUUAUAAAAACCAAAAGUUAGGUGACUUAAGUAUCUUAUAUUCUGGUGGAAGAAUACCAUCCAUUUAACCCAGUGUACUCCUCUACCUUUUGGAGUCUUCAUAUUAAAAAAUAUUAAAAUAUUUGUUGAUUGAAUGUAAAGUAAUAUGAGUCUCUUCUACUUCACAGAAUUUGAGAUUGGAAAAGUUAAGAUGCUCAUACUAAAAGAAGUGAUACAUAUGCUUCAAAUCUCUUUGAUAUAUAGAGACAUGGACACCAACUAACUGUGGUGUGAAGACUCCUUUGAAAAUUGGACUUCCACAGUAGAGCUUAACGGGUAAAAGCAUGCAUUUAGGAGUAAGCAGGGGGCCUGAACUUUGGUGUUAUCAGUAACCAGCUAUGUAACCAUGGGUCAAGGCUAUUGCACAAACACAGUCAGACUUCAUUAGAACAAGCAUGGAAAUCUGAGAUGUAACAUGUGCAUCAGGCACUCACAUGGCACAGCCUGGCAGCUGUCCCUGAGGACAUCAAAUACAGCUCAGAGUGAAAGGUUACUCAGCUUCUCAAACUCAGCCAUAGACCAUGAGAAGUUCUCAGGAAGAUAAAGGCCAAUCUGAAAGAUGAAAAGGUAUCAGAGGCAUGCAGGCACAGAGAAAAAGCCAUUUGAGGCCAUCCUCAAGAAGAAGCCAUCUGUAAGCCACAGAGUGGGGCCUUAGGAGAAGCCAAGCUGUCAGCACCUUGAUCUUGGACUUCCAGCCUC